Molecule: ribosomal RNA, 426 nt
Filed under: uncultured bacterium
Lineage: Bacteria
Description: bacterial SSU rRNA
Rfam family: Bacterial small subunit ribosomal RNA
Source: RNAcentral
AGGGAAUCUUCCGCAAUGGACGAAAGUCUGACGGAGCAACGCCGCGUGAGUGAUGAAGGUUUUCGGAUCGUAAACCUCUGUUGUUAGGGAAGAACAAGUGCCGUUCGAAUAGGGCGGCACCUUGACGGUACCUAACCAGAAAGCCACGGCUAACUACGUGCCAGCAGCCGCGGUAAUACGUAGGUGGCAAGCGUUGUCCGGAAUUAUUGGGCGUAAAGCGCGCGCAGGCGGUCUUUUAAGUCUGAUGUGAAAGCCCACGGCUCAACCGUGGAGGGUCAUUGGAAACUGGAAGACUUGAGUGCAGAAGAGGAGAGUGGAAUUCCACGUGUAGCGGUGAAAUGCGUAGAGAUGUGGAGGAACACCAGUGGCGAAGGCGGCUCGCUGGUCUGUAACUGACGCUGAGGCGCGAAAGCGUGGGGAGCAAAC